This is a long non-coding RNA of Paramisgurnus dabryanus, 543 nucleotides long. RefSeq lists it as uncharacterized. The record is from RefSeq and is a predicted model, not a curated record. Lineage: Eukaryota; Metazoa; Chordata; Actinopteri; Cypriniformes; Cobitidae.
UCAAGAAAGAACACACUCCAGUGGGCAUCCUUUAUCCAUCCAGACCCUCAUACAGAUGGUUGGAGUUUUGAUUCACCUAAAGUACCAUGCAAGAGCACUCAUUUUCCCUCUUGAGACCAUGGUGUGACCUGCAAGAUCGAAUGGAGACUGUAGACGAGACAAUCUUGGAGUCACCUGCUUUCCCUGGUCCAGUUGUUAGUCCAAUUACAGAUGGAGAUUAUAGAAGAGGAUGAUGUCUUUUCUCCAACAUCUUUCUAGACUGAUAAAAGAUCUAGACAGGCUUGAACAAAAGUUAACAGAGGGGCUUAUAUAGAGAAUGGUGAGCAGCUACACAUAAAAGAAGAACAUGGAGAAUCUGCCCAGAGGUGUUAACCAGCAAUGCAGCUAUACAACUAAAUUGAUGCAGGCGGAAACAAUAAUGCAGCUGCUGCAGAUGAAGAAUCCGUCCGUCUACCACUGAAGGAGACGCGGAAAAUUCCAUCCAAGAUGUUCUUUGCCAGAGGAAGCAUUUGAUUAAUUUAAAGAUAUUGUGUUUCUUUGUAU